This 485-nucleotide ribosomal RNA is filed under the name uncultured bacterium. RNAcentral's name for it is "partial 16S ribosomal RNA". It matches the Rfam family "Bacterial small subunit ribosomal RNA", at positions 30 to 508 of the family's 1533-position model. The record is from RNAcentral.
AUUGAACGCUGGCGGCAGGCCUAACACAUGCAAGUCGAGCGGAUGAAGGGAGCUUGCUCCUGGAUUCAGCGGCGGACGGGUGAGUAAUGCCUAGGAAUCUGCCUGGUAGUGGGGGAUAACGUCCGGAAACGGGCGCUAAUACCGCAUACGUCCUGAGGGAGAAAGUGGGGGAUCUUCGGACCUCACGCUAUCAGAUGAGCCUAGGUCGGAUUAGCUAGUUGGUGGGGUAAAGGCCUACCAAGGCGACGAUCCGUAACUGGUCUGAGAGGAUGAUCAGUCACACUUGAACGGAGACACGGUCCAGACUCCCACGGGAGGCAGCAGUGGGGAAUAUUGGACAAUGGGCGAAAGCCUGAUCCAGCCAUGCCGCGUGUGUGAAGAAGGUCUUCGGAUUGUAAAGCACGUUAAGUUGGGAGGAAGGGCAGUAAGUUAAUACCGUGCUGUUUUGACGUUACCAACAGAAUAAGAACCGGCUAACUUCGUGC